Molecule: microRNA precursor, 122 nt
Filed under: Petromyzon marinus (sea lamprey)
Lineage: Eukaryota; Metazoa; Chordata; Hyperoartia; Petromyzontiformes; Petromyzontidae
Description: miRNA (ENSPMAG00000010874.1)
Source: RNAcentral
GUAUUUGCUUGUCAAGCUGUGUGUGUGUGUGCGUGUGCAUGUGUAUAUAUAUAAAUGCAGAAUACAAUUCCAGGCUUGAUAUUUUCCAAUUACUCGGACACAAAUAGGAUUGACCUGCUUGA